RNAcentral lists this unclassified non-coding RNA (2117 nucleotides) under Leishmania donovani. RNAcentral describes it as "gene:LdHU3.32.0450(CDS-product:hypothetical_prote in_conserved)". Lineage: Eukaryota; Euglenozoa; Kinetoplastea; Trypanosomatida; Trypanosomatidae. The record is from RNAcentral.
CGCUCCCUGCCCAUCUUGUAUCCACUUCAGAGGGCCUCUUCCGCGUCACUGCGCUUCCCUCCAUCUACACAUAGCCGUUUUGUCCCUCGCCCAACUUCGCUUUCUCUCCUCCUUCCAGAAAACGAUGAUCCGAGACCAGUGCCACGCUUACUGUCGGUGCUCCUACUGCGCGCAGCAGCCACGGGAGAAGUCUUUCAACGCUGGCGCCUCGAUGUGGGCCACCAUGGAGGCGUUGGACCGCCCGGGGAUGUCGAAGGAUGAGCUCUAUAUGAAGAGCCUCCACCAAAGCCUUCGUGCCAAGGCGUUCUUGGACAGCUCCAAGAACGCUGGCAAGUUCAUCCCGGACGAGCAGCUCCUGAGCAGCACGAAGCGCCGUGAGGCGAAGGAGCUGGCGCUGGCUGCGGAGCUGGUGCCGGUGCGUCGCCGUGACCGCCUGCAGGAGCUGGUGUUGCUGGAGCACAAGGAACGCCUGCGUGAGGAGGCGGCCCUGCGUGCGGAGCGGCGUGCCCUUGGCCUGGCCGAGGAGGAGGAACCGGUCUCGGCAGUGCACUCCGACUCUCCAGCAUCGACGCGGCCGUCGUCGAAAGAAUCGAUGCAGCAGCGCCUCAGCAGCGGCGCCGCCACACCGGCCUCCCGCUGCUCUGCUGAGCAUGACCUCCACGUCAUGCUGAAGGGCAUCAGGGACAUUGUGGACGAGGACCCCGCCGCCUCCUCAGAUCCGCUGAGCCGCGAACAGGUGUUCAAGUUACGCCAACUGAUGCACACACAGAAGAAGAAGACACGAGAGAUGAUUGACAACUGUGAGAACCAGCCGCACGUUUGCGGCCACUGCCUGGACGUGAACGUGCAGGCGCGUCACCUCAGCGCCUCGCCGCACGGUUCCGUGGCGUACGGCUUGACUGGCAAGGUUAUCAACCCCGAGGAGGGCGUCAAGUUCGGUACCGACACGCAGCGCGACCCCAGCGGGCUUUUCAACGCGUCCACGGUGGAUCCCGCCAUGGUGUCUGGCAAAAAGAGCCGUCUGACCAGCUACAACGCCCACCCGUACGGAACCGGCAUGGUGUUCCUGCCGGUAUCGUCCCUGAACGGAGGUAGCGGAAGUGCCGUGGGCGGCCAAUCCACCCGCUUUCGCGCCAGCUUCAACAACAACAUUGGCAGCGGGGAGCCGGUGGAGGAGGAGCUGCAGUUCCCUGGGAGCACCUACAACGUCUACGAUACCGGCCUCGCGAAAGAGGCAACGCCGCAGGCCGUGGCAAAGGCCGACAAGGCCCAGCGCACCGUCAAGAUCGACACGGCUUCGUCCAACGAGAGCUCACAGUGCGGGGCAAACGAACCGAAGGCCACCGCGACUGCCGCGCCUGAGCAGCCGACCUACAGCUCCUCGGCUGCGAUGUGGAUGACGACGAACCAGGAUCGCGAGCUGGACAUGAAGCGCUUUAUGGAGUUCCAGCAGAAGCUGAAGGCGAACAGCAAGCGCGUGUAUGCGGAGACCGCCAGCCGUUCGGCCAAGGCGCUCUCUGCGUAAGAGGGUGCAUCCGACAUUGACGCGGCCACUCCUGUUAGACUCUGAGCGUAUCGAGUGUUCCCCAGCUGCUGCGGCGAGAGGGGCGUGCUGACGUAAAUAGGGGAAAACAAAGCAAAACAGAUGACGUGGCCUCGAGAGGGGCAUCUGUGCGUGCACAUGUAGACCCGAAUGGAUAAGAAGGUUGUAGUGAUGUUGGUAAUGAGCGGAUUUCUGGUGCGGUGCGGAUGAAUAAAAGCGGGUGUUUGCCAGACUGCCAGCCGACAGGUAUCCAGCACCCCCUCCACCGCUCUUCGCGCACACAGAUACACACACUCAGACAGACGAUCGGCCAAUCGGCGAGAUUUGUUGCCGCUUUUUCCCCUGUCUCUCUGGCGCGUGUCGGACGCUCUCUACUUCUUCUCCGACCACGGGGCACUGACACUGAAGCUCAUGCCAAAAUCAGCCUUCUGAGCAAAGACAUCGUCGCGGCUCCCUCGCACUCGUUUUCUUUUCUUGUGCUCUCGUUUGCCGCGGAUGCGCGACUCUCUCACUUCAUGGACUCACCCAUUCGUACUUGCCUUCUACGCCCCUAUGCUCUUCCCCUCCCUGUCAG